UCUUUCUCCUCCCCUCUAGCAAAUGUAGCACAUCAGCGAAGUGAGAAGAGGCAUUGGGCUCUCCGGGCACAGUAGCAGUAAAAACUUGCUCCUCAGAGGCUGUCACAGCAAUGAAGCCCGGUGAUACACAGGGGAAGAAAGUAGCCAUUGUCGGAGGCGGUCUGGUGGGUGCAUUAAAUGCCUGUUUCUUUGCCAGACGAGGUUUCCACGUUGAUGUUUAUGAAGCCAGAGAAGAUAUCCGGGUGGCCAGAUUUGCCCGUGGCAGAAGCAUUAACUUGGCGCUCUCCCACAGAGGACGCCAGGCCCUCAAAGCUGUGGGGAUGGAGGACCAGAUUGUGUCCAAAGGCAUUCCUAUGCGGGCAAGGAGGAUACACACACCUACAGGGAAAAAGUAUUCAAUCCCCUAUGGGAAGAAGAACCAGUACAUUCUCUCUGUGGACAGAGCAAAUCUAAACAGAGAGCUGUUAACAGCUGCGGAGAAGCACUCCAACACUAAACUGUACUUUGGACACAAACUCCUGGAGUGCAAUGCAGAGUUAGGGACAUUAACUAUAAAAAGUUCUGACCAGCUGCCCAUGGAAGUCACUUAUGAUCUCAUUGUGGGAUGUGAUGGAGCCUUCUCAACCGUCAGAAAGCAGUUCAUGAGGCAAACGCGCUUUAACUACAGUCAUGAGUACAUUCCUCAUGGCUAUAUGGAGCUGACCAUCCCUCCCAAGGAUGGAGAUUUUGCCAUGGAACCAAACUACCUCCAUAUCUGGCCAAGAAACACCUUCAUGAUGAUUGCACUGCCUAACAUGGACAAGUCCUUCACCUGCACGCUCUUCAUGCCCUUCGAAGAAUUUGAGAAGCUCACAACUGGCAAGCAAGUACUGGAUUUUUUCCAGACCUACUUUCCAGAUUCAAUUCCCCUCAUUGGAGAGCGAGAGCUGAAGCGUGAUUACUUUUUGCUGCCAGCCCAGGCUAUGAUAUCUGUGAAGUGCUCUUCCUACCACAUUGCUUGCCGGUGUGUGCUGAUGGGAGAUGCUGCGCAUGCUGUUGUGCCCUUCUAUGGGCAAGGCAUGAACGCGGGCUUUGAGGAUUGUUUGGUUUUUGAUGAGCUAAUGGACCAGUUCCACAAUGACCUUGGUGUUUGCCUUCCCGAAUUCUCCAGGCUGAGGGUGCCAGACGACCAUGCGAUCUCAGAUUUAGCCAUGUACAAUUAUGUAGAGAUGCGAGAGCACGUGAAUUCAAUGUGGUUCAUUUUCCGAAAGCACAUAGACAACUUCCUCCACGCCCUCAUGCCUUCCACCAUCGUCCCGCUAUACACCAUGAUCACAUUCACCAGAAUUCGCUACCAUGAAGCACUGCAGCGCUGGAAGUGGCAGAAAAAGGCUCUGCGAGAGCUGGUCGCAGGCCCUGAGUGCUGGCAAGGAGGCACAUAUGCUUGCUUCAAGCGACUUGCACGUGUUUCACGUGGUGCCACAGGGUGGGAGCAAACUUCUGACAACACCUGGAUUUCUUCUUACACUUGCAGAAGGUCUUGCUGCUCUGAAGGAUGGGUGACGCAUUUCAGUGCCGUCUGGAUUCAGCCCUGCGACUUCAGCUGGUGCCUUGUGUUUGCGCACGUGGUGGCUUCCACAGUAAGCAGAAAUUGCUUGGAUAUUAUUUUUACAAGGAAUGUGAGUAUUAAAUUAUAGUGAGUAUUAAAUUGUAGUAAAUUUAGGCCCUAACUUAACUCAUCGAUAUUUCUGUCUUAGCCGCUGUCAUUUUAAAAGGGAAAUGUGUGCUUCGGAGUUGAUACGGGCGACUCCGGCGCGCCCGUGUCUGGCUCUGACUGUGCAUGUCCCCAUCCGCAUGCAGAGGCAGCUGGUGGAGCACGGGGUUUUCUCCGCGCUCCCACGCUCGGCUGUGCCGUGAGCGCCCCGCUCCCUUUGGGCACCCGCUGCCGGUGUCGUGCAACAGCUGAGCUGCCCGAGGACCAGAAGGGACCCUUGGGCGCGGGUGCCGACGCCGAUGCUUCCCCCAGCGGGAGCAGGGCCACCGCCGUGUCUUUGCGGUUGUACCCCGCACAGCCGUCCCCCCUGCCAGUGGCCUCCGGGCCACCCGGUGGCUGUGACUUCCUGCGCUGAGGUUGUGCUCAGCGCUUGCCGCACCACGUGGGCUGCACCGCAAGGUCUGACACAGGGCGUCCAAACCGGGCGGCAUUUCCCCGCCUGAAAGAGGAACUCCCCUGGCUGCCCUUCCGCGGGUGCUGCCAGCGCUCCCCCGCUGCAGGGAGGGCGGGAGAAGGGCCAUGGGGGUCCCAGGGAGGAAAAUUGGGGCCCGGCUGGCUGUGGCCCAGCUCCGGCCAGCUCCGAAGGAGGCUCCUUCCCGUGGAGGGAACGGGGGCAGAGCUGGUGGGGAAGUGCUGAGCUUUUCUUGCUGAAGGAAAUGAUGCAGUUUCAAAUCCAGAUUGAGAAACUUUGCAUGAGUACUUACUUUCUUGCCUUGUGGUUUUGCCAAGGUCAGAUUUCACCCAGUUUGCACCCCUCCCUCCAGUUCUCCUCCUCUAAAAAGGGGCACUCCCCCCUAAAAAACAAAUGUGGGAAGAAGCGUGAAGGGAGCACGGGUUCCCAGCAAACAGAAAAAUAGCCAUCCAGAAAGUUUCCUCUUUCUUACUGGGGCAUAGGAGCCUCCACGCAUCUCUGAGCCUGGUCCUCUCCUGUCAGAGAGGUUCAGUGGCCUUUCUUGGGUAAUACUUGCCACAUCGCCCUGGCAAGAGUUACAGGGGGUGACUGCAGGUGGACAUACCCACAGGGGCUGCCACCACCGGCCACGGUCUUCUCCAUGGCCUGCCAAGGGCUUGCUGCAGCGGGCACGAGCCAGGAGGACGGGCACAUCUGAGUCUGUACAGAGCUGCUGUGGCACGUAUGCUACAGGGCACGGGUCAUUUGUGUCCUAGGAAUGCCUGUCUCCUCUUGUCUCCUUGGGAAGGCCAACGGAGGGAAGGGGAGAGGCUUCCUCUAGCGGCAUUUUGUAGGGUUCAGCUUGCCAGCAUGGCUAGUAACAGGCUGGCUCUCGCACGAGAGCACAGGGCAAGGAGAAAGGACAGGGUGUUGGCAUCAGACCUGUAUCAUGCUCUGCUCUGCGGGGGUGGUGGUGGGCCAGGACGUGAUGCUGUGGGUGUGGGGGUUUGACCAGGGAGCUGUGGAGGCAAUUGCACAGGUCCUACAAGUGUGCACAGAAGGACUCCCAGCACGUCCCCCAGUACCCCUCCAAACUCCUCAACUGCUUGCUAUCCUAAAGCCACCGCUCCUGCUGUUACACUAGUGUUUUAAAGCAUGAUGGAGAUCUUGUUCUUCACAAGCAUUUUCCUAGUGCAAGUUGUCCUAGAUGCUCACACUGUUCGCUUCUUGCCCUAGGAGACACGUCUCCUGGAAAUUUAUGCUAUCCAUACAGGUGGCUAAAUUAUUUUCAGGGAUCACCAAAAAUGCUAGGUGGAAAGUAAGCAGAAUGCAGCAUCCCAGACCGUGUCAGAGGACAUGGUGGAGGUCUGUUUCUCCUAUUCGUAACUCGCUGAGGCAGGAGCAAGUUGGAUUUUAAAACCGCAUUGGUCGGGCUCUAGGGCUAAUAUGAGACCACACCUUUCCUCAUAUGGCCACCUUAGCCUGCACAAGGAACAGUGUUUUUAUGAUGGUGUUGAUGAAAUCAUGGUCAUUAGCACUGUUGUGUCUCGUAAGGGCUUGCUCCCAGCAUAGCCAAGGAGCAGAGUUGUGUCCCGGCAGAGCAGUGUCCACCCUUACGGCAUGGACUCACACAGGGAAGUAAGAAAAGAGGAAUUUGUUGAAAGAGGAAAAAGGAAUAAAAAAGCAUAAAGGAACAAUGAGCACUGCCCUUUUUAGAAGUAUUAGACACAGCAUGAGAAAAACAGGUCAUAGGUUUUGAAAUAGCUCUUACAUUGCCCUGAGCCACAAAUAAACACUCCCUGGUUCCCUGCAAACAUUGACUGCCCUGCCCCAUGACUCUGCCAAACAGAGGGCUGAGCUUAGCAGCUACCAAACUUAACAGCUCUGAAUAAAAAGGAAAUGAGAAAACAAGAGAAACCUUCAAAAGGCAUUAAGGCCAAACCAGUAUAUAUGGCUGCUCAGAUCUGUUUCUGAGGCAUAAUGAUUUUUUUUUAGCUCAUCAGCCACUGUAAGAUACCCGACACAUUAAUAAUAUUGCAGGUCAAGAAUGACACUGGUCAACUGUAGACCAUCUUCCUUGAAAAAGGUCUGUUUUUCUCCUGAGGGUAGAAAGAAGAACAGUUGCACUCUUUGAGCUAGAGGAGUCUGGUAAAAAGGUUUGCGGAGAGGGAAGGUGAUACAUAGCUGUCAUUUUCUCUCACAAAGUGAGGUUUGCAGAGUAAAGCCCAGCUGUGUUAUGGGCCUUGCAGAUGUGACAGGACCCUUCUGGCCCAUUAGCAAACCUGUCUCCUCUAGCACUAGCUGGCUUCCAUCGUUGCUUAUGGCAGAGUUGGUCUGGAUGUAAAGAUUUGCAGCCAUAGGAAGCCCACCCUGUCCCCCAGCAGUGCCAGGGGACACAGCCCAGCUGCCACCACCCCUGCGGACACAGCCCAGAACCUCACGCUGCUGUGUCUGGCUGUGGCCAGCCUCUCGUGGCUAAAGAGAGCCCUCUUUCAGAGACACCUUCUGGGGACCCAGCUCUUUCACAUAAUCCAUCACAUCCUUUGGUAAGUUUUUAAGGGCAUCGUCUAUCUUCACGGUUGAAAAGUCCCACCAGCCUCUAGUCUGCAUGGGUCUGGCUCCAGCUUCAGCCAUGACAUCCAGAUCACUGAAAAAACUCAGAGAUCAAAACUCUUUCACCUCUGUAGAUCCUUACAGGUCACAACCUAAUCACCACCUCAUCAGCUUCUUAAGCUGAAAGGUCGAACAGCCUCAGUCUCCUGCUGUAAUGUUUUCCAGUAACCACUGUAAUGCUUUUCCAGCGUGUCAACAACCUCCUUGAAGUGUGUACAGCAGAGCUGGAUGGUUAGAAGACCACACUGAGCUGACAGUGGACUCAGCUCCAUGGGAUCCUGCCUGGGCUGUGCGAGCAGCGAGUCUUUGGCUCCCCUCUGAGUUACUGAUUUCCCCAAAUGGGAAACAUGCAGCCUGUUCCUAAUAGAGGAACUUGUGUUUAGCUAUUUUAAACAUCAUGGUAAGGUGUGAACUGAGCCUGUGUCACAGCAUGGUCUUCAUCAUUCUUUAGAAGUGAUCAGCACUUGGGGUUGUUGGCUGGCCGGACACAUUUGUGUCACCUCCAAAUUCUGCCAGCACUGUGUGAGCUUAUAGAAAAUGGGUGAAAGCUCUUAAAACAGGGUGGAGAGCAGGUGCCUGCUGGACCCCCUCUAUCCAGGCUACAUGGCCCUGAGCGCUGACUUCGAUCACUCAUGUUUUAAGGCCGGCUAUUUGCGAUGGAGGGGGAGUAUGCACGGCGUUGUGUAUGCAGCCUGGGCACCCUGAAUACUCCUCUUCAGCAUGGUUAGCUUCCCCAGCCGGACUUGAAAGAUCUUCCAACAGGAGCGCCACAUUUCUUGGCAAGACCUGCUUUCUGUACAACUAUAUUUAUUAUUCUGUUUACUGUAUUUAUGGCUUUCAUUUGAUAUUGAGUGUUCCUUGUAUCUGCUUUGCCCUGAGUUUCUCCUGGACUAAUUUCAGGGUCACUGGCGGGGAGUUUUCCAGGGCAAUCAAUUUUCCUCUUGACAUACUAGCACAGCACUGAUGUUGCCCAGUCCUCUAGUUCUUUCUUAACUUUCCAAAACGUAUGAAAUACUAACAGCAGUGGCUCAGAGACACCCCCACCCAGGAUUUUAAGAAUAUUGGGUGGAACUGAUGUGGUUCUGCUAAUUUAGAAAAGCACUUGCUGAUUAACGCCUGUAGUUCCCCCACCAGAGAAACCCUCCCAGGCCUGCAGUAAGCCGCAGCUGCUUCUUUCAAGGUAAGACAAAUGUUUAUUUCUUUUCUCUUUCCUGCAGUAUUAAUGGCUAUUUACCCUCCCCACCUUUGUAAAUACUACUAGUAGAGAUCUUUUCUGAUACAAAUGCACUGAGAUGCAGUGGGAAAAGGCAUUUUCCACGACUUGGCAGUCAGCAGCUUAUUAGAAGCACCCUGGGCCUGGGGAUGCAGAGAGCGUUGUGAUGCUGUAUGGCUGCAAAACCCUGCGAGCAGCAAGAGAAGGGACUCAGGACCAGGAAAAUGGUUUCUCUCCAAGUAAGAACUACCAGUGCUGAGAGGAGGGAAGAGCAAAGCUUCCCGUAGAGUCUCUCCCUCCCUUGUUUCCUGUAGCGGUCACAUGAUUGACACACUAAAUGUGCCUAAGUAGGCUCCAUCACUUCCACAAACCAUUGCCUAGAGCUGCCUGCUGCUGCUGAGCUGCUUCUUUUCUUUGUUUCCACAGGUUAAGUACUAUUUUAAAAGGUGAAGUAAAGGCCUGUGCAUGUUCCCCUGCUGUUUUUUGCCUCUGUGUAAAGCUGGCCUAGCUCUGGGGGAGUAGAGCUGCUGCAAGAUGAAGGAAUGUAAGCACACCCUGAUACUAGGAGAGAACAACGGAAGAAAGCUUACCACUUCUUUUUCUUCUCCUGUGAAGGGAAAUUAUUCACUGUUAUGUGGGUAGAUGUGUGUAUGUGUGAUUCAGGGUGACUUUCAAACGGAACAAAUUGGGCUUCUGCUUUUGUCUACCUCCUUACAGCGGUCAGAGAAGGGUAAAACAGGUUUUCUGUUUGAUUACCUGCAUUAGCAGUUCAGACUCAGCCUGGCCCCAGCAGAGUUUACUCCGACCCCCUUUGCAAUCUCUCCUUCGCUCAGUCCUGUGCCUGUACUGCACUGGCCAGCCGUGGCCCCUCAGCUGCUACUGGCAGCUUUUCCCUAAUUCCUUGGCAGCCUCUCCCUUUGCGUGUCCUCACACGGUGCUGGAGCCGGGAGGGUAUUUGGCUGCGGCUGACAAAGCCGUGGGGCGUUUGCCGACCAGCAGAGCCUGCCCGUGGUGAGCGGGGAAGGUACCUGGGCGCCAGGUCUGGGGGCUGCAGGGCUGUGGCCUGCUGUUCCCUGCUUGUGGUGCCCCAGCUUGGUCUCCGCUCUGUUCCCUUUCAUGGAAACCCUCUUCCCCAGAUGUGGUCUGCCCGUGUUUUUUUUUGUUUUUUUUUUUAAAUGUAAAAUAAGACAAGGCUUCUUCCUAGCAGGAGGUGUUGGAGGGCAAGCACGCUAGUUCAACCCUCAAAGCAGGGAGACUGUAAAUAGUCCACCCUCCUGCCCUGGUGCCAGCUCCCGGGGCAGGUCAGCCGCAGACCCAGAGCCACGUGCCAGAGUGGGACACAGAUGCUGAGCCAGAGAGCAGCCCUGCUGAGUGGCGGGGGGCAGACGAAGGGGCCUCCCUGUGCCAGGAGGGGUGCAGGGGAAACCGGACCUGAAGAUGAGGUAGGAAAGCAGCAGAGAGCUCAGGGGACCCUGCAGUCCUGGUGGUGAUGAUCACAAGUCACCUUGGCAGGGAACGAGAGGCUGGAAAGCACUGUGGUCUCCACGGCCAUUGAAAGCAAGAGGGGGACAAGCAGCAUAGGAGACCAGGGAGAAACGAGAUGAUGGAGCAGAGGUGCACAAAAGCAGCCAAAAGGGUGCUGUAGCGGGGGCAAAGCUGGGUGUUAGAGGCUAGGAGGAGAAGCAGCAUCCUUAAAACACCUGCACCUGAACCAUCACAUAUCAAGAAGUCAUGGAAGGCUGUAGCCUGAAGCUGUACGGAGGUGUAUGCGCAAUUGUUUCCAUGUUCCCUGAAAUCGGCCACCUCUCAGAUGCGGCUGCCUCGCUGGCUGCGAAGGGAAAGGGAGCUCUGAGGCACAGUUCACCCAGCCAGGGCUACGAGGUGGCGGCGGGGUGAAGAGGCUGCACCCCAGGCCCGGGGUCCUAUGUAUAAACUGUUGACUGCUGGGCUGCGAGCUCCUCGCCAUGCCUUGGGUGGCUCCAGGCACCCUGUGUGACAGACGCCCGGGACUGGGGUGCCGCUUCGCAGGGAGCCCUUUGGAGAAGCCACCAGAGAGCUGAAGGGUGUUAUGUUUACGGAGCUUCUCUUGCUCGCCCUGUUUGGUAAGUGUGGCAUGGCUUGGUCAUGGAAAGAUGCUCCUAAAGGGUUUGCAAGCCAGAAAAUCCGAAGGCGACCUCGGAGGAAGCACACAGGGAAAGGCUGGGUGCUGUUGUCUCGCAGGCUCGCAGAGGCUGCAGGUAGGGAGCAAACCUUGUGCAUCCCAGCGUUUACAGGGGCGCUGGGCUCAGCGGAGCCGAGGGCAGAGUGGAGGCGCGAGGCAUCUUGCAACGCACUGGGAUGUCUCUGAGCCCCUGGGGUCAGGCGGAUGCAAUAGGUCAGGGCAGGUUUCUUUCCAGCGGGUGCUGCACAGCACGGCGAAACGAGUCAGGCUUUAUAAAUAGGGUUGAAGGGGAAAUGUUGAGGCUUGCAGCAAUUUCACUGCUAUAAAUAAUAGACAAGCAUUCAAAAAUGGAGGUGGGUCUUGCAGUCUUUUAGCCACAACUCUCCUUUGCUGCGUUGCUAAAUAUCGAUGUUUUCUUGCAAAGUGGAAGGCUGCAGUCUCAUGCCUAGUAUCUGAAUAAGCCUCUUUGAGUGCUUGUGUCGUCUGUUUGCAAUGGUGAGGUGCUGCUAGGUGCAACCACCGAUGCCUUGAUGCUCUUGGGAUGCUUCCUCAGUGCUCCAACGUUUCCAUACGUCCCUGGCACUGUGCCACCCUACAGCCGUCCUGCUGUGACGGAGACGCUGGGCAUCGCAAGCAGCAACUGUGCUGCUUUUCUUUCAUUCUGGGUGGCCCCAGCUUCUGUGUGCUGGAUAUAACGAAGCUGCGUGGUGUAUAGCGGGGAAGGGAAAGUGGAUGUUACUUCACCUGCUGCCAUUUCUUCUUCUGCUUAGUUGUGCAGUUCUGGUAAUUUCCAUGAAGGCAGCAGCCACGCACAGGCUUUCCCUCUGCCUGAGGCACCGAUAUGCCAGACCUUACAGAAUAUGACACAAUGUGUAUAUAUGGGUUUAUGCAUACAUAUGUAUGCAUACAAAAGUCUAUGUUUGUACCUCCCUAUAUGGGGCCUUGCAGGGUCUGCCUGGAGCGCUGAUCCCAGUCUCCUGUUGUCACUGCUCCUGAUGUCCUGUGGCACUUGUUACAGAUUAACCAGGGAUGUAUUUACCUAAAUCUGCCUUGCUGAGUCCUGUUCUCUUCUUGUAAGUACAAAUGGUCGCAAUGUGGACAAGUAUCCUAGAGUCACAGAGAUCCUCCAAGCUGCAUCUGCCACUUCCUACGCUCCCACCGCAACCUCUGGUCCAGGCGCAGGUUAGAAAAGCAGGGCGAUGACUGCUCAGGAUCCCUCGCCAAACCGCCGGCAGUGAAAAGCUGCUUGCUCUCAAGAUGUGUUUGUGUGGGGAGCGUUUUCCUUCCAGCAGCUGCAGGGCGUUUAGGGGAACAGACCGUGGGAUGAAUGCUCUCCGGUGCACUUCGCAAGCCUCCAGGCCCUGGGGCUUUCCAGACAUUUGGGAGCAGUGGUGCCCGUUUCUCGCGUCUCCAGCUGCUUUUCCAAUGAUGUGAGCCUUGCAGCCUCCUCCCAGCAGGCACCACCCGCCCCUUUCAGCGAUGGCACCACAAGCCGGGCUGCUCGUCCCUAACCGCGUGGACACGCAUGACCGAGCCUCCUGCCUGGACAUCAGCCCCAACCGCUGCACUGCAAGUGCCGUGAGAGCUCGACAUCCAGCCCAGGACACUCGUCCUGAGCAACCUUCGCUGCGGCGCGAUCCUAGCCCAGCGGGUCAUGCGGGAAUCGCUGGCUACGGGUCUCAGUGUCGUGUUGUAUGGAGGUGACAGGAGGUGUCACCACUGUCCCCUCCAGCCUUUUGGACAGUGAAUUGAGUUAUUUGUUUCUCUGAGAAAAUAAGUCAUUCUGUACCACGCUCUUGCACACCCUGAAAUCAUUUGCAAUAGAAAUAGCAAUGGGAUGGAGGGCACAGGCAAAGUGCAAAACCACUGAGCAAAGCAGGAUGUGACAACCAUGGCAGAGCAAUACAACACUUACAGCUUUCGCACACUUUUUAGAAGUCAUAUGCGCCUGCAUGAGCUGUAGGGUGAGAUACCUCUGUGAACGUUCACACGUUUGCUUUUCAUCUGCCUGAGAGGCUGGGAGUUGGGUCUGUGGCAUUUUCAAAUGCAUCAGAGCCAGAGGUCAGUGUGGUCUUAAACAGCCUGAGGCUGAAAUUAAGAAUAACUGUUCUCUCCAGCCUUUCCAUUACACUUGGGCUAUAUUUCAUGUACCCUAAAUUUCUUCUUUGCUGCGUUAGACAGCAAACUUUUGCCUAUGUAAAAGAGACUUUGCAAAGCACUUGCUCUCGCCCAGGGUUAGUUUGCCUGCAGUGGUCUGUCAUCUUCCCAGCCUCUGCGAGGGGACAGCCUGCCUGCCCAGGACACGAGUGUCCCCAGGACAGGAGGCCUUGCCCCUUCCUGCUCUGGAUUUUCAGUCAGUAUCAGCAUAUAAUUUGGUGUCAGGUGAAGGGGGAGAAGAGCAAGGGGCUCGUCCCCUCCUCUAGCUCUUCUUCCAGGGCUCGCGUAGGCAAAGGUACCCUAAUUUAGCAAGUCCCGACGCAAUGUGAAUCUGGUGGCAGGCAGGGGUCCCAGUGGCACUGCCACUGACCCCUUCUUAUGGCAAAGCCGGGCUCGUUCCCAGGUACGAGCUGUGACAGAGGAAGGAUCUGGGCUCUCAGGGGUUCGGGGCUGGGUUCUGCCCCGCACCCGCAUGGCGCGUAGGACGUCGGGGAAGGUCCCGCGUGUGCACUCGCGCACACCAACGUGAUCGCGUGUCGGAGGUGAGACCGAAGCUGAACUUCCCAGCAGCUGGACCCUCGCGGCACUCACGCCGCGCCCCGAUUCAAGGGUUAGUUCCUUGUUCCCAUAUGAGCUGUUACAUCCUGCAGUUGCUUUGCAUGUAUCUGUACGCUAGCGUCAGAGUCAGCCCAGAAGGGAGAAACGCUGUCUGUUUGUCCUCCGACAUGCAGGACCCCACCAAGACACGGAGACAGCAACUGUGGCCCGCAUAUGCCCUAAAAGGAGAUUUCCCAAGCUUGGGGCGAAUCCUCCUUUCAUCCUCGCCGGGGGCAGAAGUGGGUCUGCUCUAAAGCCAGGUCAGCCCUCGCAGCCUGCUCUGUCGCCAGUUCCUACGUGGGCGGCUGAUGCCAGCCCGCCGCUUCUGUGCUGCUGGCUCUCCCGUCCACCCCUCGUCCCAGCCCUCUCCUUCGGCCGUGCUCGCCGCGGCGGCUGCGUCUGCCCCAUGCUGCUCUAUGAGCCUCCUCGGCAGCCAUUUCCACCUGUGCCGAGGGAUGCGAUGGGGCACCUCAGGUCAGCGCAGCAGCGAGUUGUACCCUCUCUAUUCUGGUUUCCAGGCCUACAGGAGGGUGAUGAAGGUGCUCUGUUGGGUUGGACACCCUGCACUUCAGUAACAAUCUGCAGUUCCAGGCUUACUUCUACCCCCAAAAGCAAAAAAACUACAGAUCAGUCAAGCCUGUCUUCGCAAAGACUGUGCUAGAUCAACCAUCACUUUGAAAGAGUAAGGAAGGAGCACUGUGGCAAUGCACUGACCUCCAAUAAACAUCUAAGGACUCAAGUGUCCACUUCUCGAGAGAUUAGAUCAAACAGUAUAAAAGAAAUUCAUUGGAAACACCAUAAGCAUGCAGACUUCCUUGCCCCCCGGCUGCCUCUUCCUGAAAAGAAGGAAUAUUUAUUAUAUUCACCUUGCAU
Dromaius novaehollandiae (emu) is the source of this 11758-nucleotide RNA transcript. It is a transcript of the gene named kynurenine 3-monooxygenase, with no coding region annotated. The record is from RefSeq and is a predicted model, not a curated record. The transcript has 17 exons. NCBI's taxonomy places the organism in Eukaryota, Metazoa, Chordata, Aves, Casuariiformes, Dromaiidae.